This 504-nucleotide ribosomal RNA is filed under the name Selenomonas sp. oral taxon G51. RNAcentral's name for it is "bacterial SSU rRNA". It matches the Rfam family "Bacterial small subunit ribosomal RNA", at positions 28 to 502 of the family's 1533-position model. Lineage: Bacteria; Bacillati; Bacillota; Negativicutes; Selenomonadales; Selenomonadaceae. The record is from RNAcentral.
GACGAACGCUGGCGGCGUGCUUAACACAUGCAAGUCGAACGGAGCGAAUGAAAGCUUGCUUUUAUGAGCUUAGUGGCAAACGGGUGAGUAACACGUAGACAACCUGCCGACAGGAUGGGGACAACAUUCCGAAAGGAAUGCUAAUACCGAAUGAAGUCGAGGGAAGGCAUCUUCCUUCGAUGAAAGAUGGCCUCUAUAUAUAAGCUAUCACCUGUUGAUGGGUCUGCGUCUGAUUAGCUGGUAGGUGAGGUAACGGCUCACCUAGGCGACGAUCAGUAGCCGGUCUGAGAGGAUGAACGGCCACAUUGGGACUGAGACACGGCCCAGACUCCUACGGGAGGCAGCAGUGGGGAAUCUUCCGCAAUGGGCGCAAGCCUGACGGAGCAACGCCGCGUGAGUGAAGAAGGUCUUCGGAUCGUAAAGCUCUGUUGACGGGGACGAACGUGCGAAGGGUGAAUAAUCCUUUGCAAUGACGGUACCUGUACGAGGAAGCCACGGCUAACU